RNAcentral lists this ribosomal RNA (373 nucleotides) under uncultured bacterium. RNAcentral describes it as "bacterial SSU rRNA". It matches the Rfam family "Bacterial small subunit ribosomal RNA", at positions 523 to 898 of the family's 1533-position model. The record is from RNAcentral.
AGACGGAGGGGGCUAGCGUUGUUCGGAAUGACUGGGCGUAAAGGGCGCGUAGGCGGUUUUUUAAGUGAGGCGUGAAAGCCCUGGGCUUAACCCAGGAGGUGCGUUUCAGACUGGAAGACUUGAGUGCGAGAGAGGAAAGUGGAAUUUCUAGUGUAGAGGUGAAAUUCGUAGAUAUUAGAAAGAACACCCGUGGCGAAGGCGGCUUUCUGGCUCGCAACUGACGCUGAGGCGCGAAAGCGUGGGGAGCAAACAGGAUUAGAUACCCUGGUAGUCCACGCUGUAAACGAUGAGUGCUAGACGUUGGGGGGGAACCUUCAGUGUCGCAGCUAACGCAUUAAGCACUCCGCCUGGGGAGUACGGUCGCAAGAUUAAA